Non-coding RNA from Pelobates cultripes (western spadefoot toad), 81 nucleotides. Lineage: Eukaryota; Metazoa; Chordata; Amphibia; Anura; Pelobatidae. The record is from the annotation of a GenBank genome assembly.
GUUAAACUCAAAAAGGCAAAAACACAUGGGUAAUUCUAAAACCCAUGUGCUUUUGCCGUUUUGAGUUUAUUUCAAAAGACA